UCACGUGGUGAGAGUGUGAGCAAGAGAGA
Molecule: non-coding RNA, 29 nt
Filed under: Homo sapiens (human)
Lineage: Eukaryota; Metazoa; Chordata; Mammalia; Primates; Hominidae
Source: RNAcentral